Molecule: long non-coding RNA, 1613 nt
Organism: Strongylocentrotus purpuratus (purple sea urchin)
Lineage: Eukaryota; Metazoa; Echinodermata; Echinoidea; Camarodonta; Strongylocentrotidae
Exons: 2
Source: RefSeq, a predicted model, not a curated record
GUGGUAUGUAUAAUAGCUUAACCAGAGCUGAUCACCUGUUUACAAUAGACCAUACAAUACCAACAUAUGAGUUGCUAUGUCAGAAGUGGUGUAGCAUCACCAGGUAAAGAAAGGUAACAUGGAGGUAUUUGUGAGCAUGUGCUGAGCUGGAGAAAGUUACAUAACAAUUUCUCUUGUUAGCUCACUAAUGAUUAACAGAUAGAUGAAUGAAAUCUGGAGCAUUUAUUUAGGGUGGAGCUUAGCAGGUCUGAGAAAAUUAUUGUAAAAUAUUUAAAAAUCUAUGAAAUAUAUUUAAAACAAAUUAUGAGUUGUAUGCAGCCCUGCACAUAAACAUAAACCAACUUAUAUUUGGAUGUCACCUGACCCCAUAAGGUUUGCCUCAGUACCAAAUGUUUAAAUUAGACUCCUGAUAUACAUGUGUGUACAUGUACAGGUCUAUGGCUAUGCACAAUGGUAAACCAGUAACAAUGAAUGGAAUCCUUGUACAUAUUACAAUUUUGAACAGAUUAAAACAAGUCUGUCAUUAAUUAGUACUUAAAGAUUUGUGUAAUGUACACAUUAAGCAUCCUUAGUGAUGGUGCCCAUAUAGACUACUGAACUAAUUCUUAAACAACACAUGGAUAAAUAAUAAAAUAUUAUGUAAUGCACAUGCAAAUAAACAUUCAAGAUGCAUUUCUAAAAUAAAAAUAAAUGAUUGUUUUUAGUGUCCAAGCUCAGAUAUAUGUAUUAACAUUGUUCUGUCCAGUACAAACCGCUAAUUUCCUAUUUUCUUCUCCAAUUACAGGAUCAAUGUGAGUGAUUAUGUGGCCAUAUAUUUUGAUGCACCUUCAUCUAACAGCAGGACUACAAAUGGGAUGGUUUUCAUGGCUCUUGUAAAAGCAGUGAUUGAUGACAAUGUCAAAGUCAAAUUCAUACGCCGGAACAGCAAUGGUCUGUAUGAAUUUACAGAGGACUGUGAAGCCCAUCAGCCUAAAAGAUGUUAUACAGAAGAUGACUCUACCAACCAGGACCCCAGCCGACAUAGCUUACCUUUAUAAUUUUUAAGAACGAGAACUGGACAUGUUGGCAGACAAAUUUCUUCGAAAUAAGAAGUCGAACACAAUUGUGUUCUAGGACAAAAACCUGUAAAUACUUACCAUGCUAUUGGUUUCAAAUAUAUGAAUGUCUGUGUAAAUGUUAUAACACAUACCAAACAAGUUUGUGGAAGCCACUGUGCAAAAAUGUAAUUCUUUACACUGAGAAUAAAUGAUGACAAAGAAGCAAGUGAAGGGUAAUGAUACAUUGCUAUGAAUUAACAUAAAUGGUUUCUAUGUGAACAAUUAUUUUAAGUACUUUACUUUCAGUUCAACAUUUUAUCAAAACUUCAAAAGUAAGUUUAAAUUUCGCCUUGUAUAUUGCCUUUGUAGUUGACGAUAUAGUGUGUUAACAUGUUUGAAGUCUCCGAAACACUACUUUGAACUGAUCCUAUACAUGUAUAUGUUCCCAGAAUGUUUCAACUUUGAUAUGAGAAAAGUGGUUUCCCUUGAAAUUACAUACUGGACAAUAUAUUUCAGCACAGAUCAGCACAGAUUUGAAAUCCUCAUGGAUUCUAUUAAAUGACUUUGCAAUGUUUG